GACGUAGGGUGCGAGCGUUGUCCGGAUUUAUUGGGCGUAAAGAGCUCGUAGGCGGCUUGUCGCGUCGACCGUGAAAACUUGGGGCUCAACCCCAAGCCUGCGGUCGAUACGGGCAGGCUAGAGUUCGGUAGGGGAGACUGGAAUUCCUGGUGUAGCGGUGAAAUGCGCAGAUAUCAGGAAGAACACCCGUGGCGAAGGCGGUUCUCUGGGACGGUACUGACGCUGAGACGCGAAAGCGUGGGGAGCGAACAGG
Molecule: ribosomal RNA, 253 nt
Filed under: uncultured bacterium
Lineage: Bacteria
Description: partial 16S ribosomal RNA
Rfam family: Bacterial small subunit ribosomal RNA
Source: RNAcentral